RNAcentral lists this ribosomal RNA (1398 nucleotides) under Triticum aestivum (bread wheat). Its description in RNAcentral is "partial small subunit ribosomal RNA". Lineage: Eukaryota; Viridiplantae; Streptophyta; Magnoliopsida; Poales; Poaceae. The record is from RNAcentral.
AUGUUGAUUGACAAAACUUGCUGGAAAUACAAGGAUUUGCCAAAGUCAAAGAAAAAUGAUGAAGCAGAGUCUCAGGGCAGCAUUGAUAUGUUCAAGCUCUGCAACUUGAAGCCAGCUUUGCCAACCACCUUUCAUGUGCCAGAUUUUAGCGACAAAGAUAUGUGUGAGAAGAUCAACUUUGCCAUUGACAAGAGCCUGUUCUUAUCAAGUGAUGCUGAAAAGAAUCAAAUUGACAUGGAGGAAGCAGGAAAGGGUCUUGACUGGGUUUAUUCAAAGGAAAAAUACAAGGAAUAUUUGAAGCAGCUCCCAGACCUAAGCUCCAGCAAGAGCAAGGCAGCAUCCAUGGCAAACCCUCACGUGGUCCAGAAGCGUAAAGCAGUUUCAAUGAAGAAGAAUCUGCAGUUGCCUCAAACCAAGGAGAAGAUGAUGAGUGCAGACGCUAAAGUAAAUAUGGUCAAGGAAGCUGUGCUUCAAACUGAUAUGCCAACUGUAGUGAGUAGAGAGCCAACCACCAUCACAGGAGUUCAGCAGAUCAAGGGGAAGACUCCCCUUUCAACAGUCCCACCAAAACCACCUAAGCAGCAAAAGAUUGUCAAGUUUGCCAGGGGCACAAAGGGGGAACAUGCCACAAAAGGGGUGCCAAGUUCUGCUAGGUUGCUGCCAACUCAGACUGGAAAGAUGCCAACUGCAGAUACCAGUGUGCCAACUGAUGUGUCAGUUAGCAGCGUUGUCACAAUCAAGACCACCACAGCUGCUCAGGAAGGCACCACUGCAACUGCAAGCCCCAAGGUGCCUACUCAUAGAGAUGCUUCAAUGCCAAACCCAAAAGGAGGUGAUCCUACUACCAAAGUGCCGUCCCCAAGAGCUAGCACACAGCAGCCAAGCAAGCCUGCAUCACCAAGAGCUGACUUUCAGCAACCAUUAACACAAGAGGAGGUGUUCAACAUUAUAAGUAGGUGCAAGCCUCCAAGGCCGCCAACUACAACACUAUUGCGAACCAAGUCAGUGAACGAUGCACCCGUUUUUGUGCCGCAAGGAGAUGCCCUGGUCCUUAAACCCAUACGAAGAUCAAAGUCUUAUCAUGGUGACGGGUUCUGCGAUGCACCAUCUUUUGACCUCGGCAUAGAUGGUGAUGCUCCAGCACCUGCUCCAGCAGCAGAAACAGUAGAAGCCGGUGUGAUUUGUAUUGAUGAGUGUGAGUUGGACCCAGCAGCUGUGAAUGAAGGAUGCGCUGCUGCUGAUGCUCGCAAGGCAAUAGCUCAAGAGCUAGAUGUUGGAUCACUAGAGAAUUGCCACACCCCGAUAUGCGCAGAACCAGAAGCUGGUCCGCAGCAUCUCAAAGGUCUCCAUUCAUUGACUACAACAAGAAGAAGACUUUCAGCUCCAAUGAGGCAUUGA